Molecule: long non-coding RNA, 395 nt
Organism: Amblyraja radiata (thorny skate)
Lineage: Eukaryota; Metazoa; Chordata; Chondrichthyes; Rajiformes; Rajidae
Exons: 3
Source: RefSeq, a predicted model, not a curated record
UGUAAUUGUUAAGUUUUUUUUUUUUUAAAGAAGUUAACUGAGUGAAAUAGUGUUGGGUGUUCCAGCUGUGCAUUGUAACACAAUGGAGAAAACAGUUUCUCUUAAUCAAGGAGACAAUUAGCAACAGUCCGACUUCAGAAACCCAAAUUACCAAGCCACCGUGAGAGUAUUUAAAAAAUGACUUCUAAACUUAUGUUGGGGAGAUUUCUGGUAUGCAACAGGAAAUACUUUUAAAGAAAAAUCUAUCUGCAUUGGAUCUUGGUUGAGAUGAUGUUGCACUGAUUAUAUUUGACAAACCAGAGAAUCAGAAACUACUUUCUCGUGUAGAUUCAGGAAAUGAUUGUGCAACUGAAUUUAUAAACGCUAACCUUUUUCAAAAUAAAACUGUAAUAUCA